Molecule: non-coding RNA, 470 nt
Organism: Microcebus murinus (gray mouse lemur)
Lineage: Eukaryota; Metazoa; Chordata; Mammalia; Primates; Cheirogaleidae
Source: RefSeq, a predicted model, not a curated record
UGCUAGCUCCUCGUUAAGGAAGUGACAAGGUUGUAGACACUGGAGGUGGCUCAGUUACAACUGCCUUUACCGUGUGGCUGAGAAUUCACUCCCUUCCAGGUCUGGACCUCAUGGUUCUGUCACCAAAUCGGCUGCCCCUGGAUAGAACAAAAAGGCAGAGGCCCUUCUCUUCUGAGCUGGGACACCCAUCGUCUCCUGCCCUUGGACAUGAGAACUGCACAUUCUCCGGCUUUCAGACUCUGAGACUUACAUCACUGGCUCCCAGGUUUUGACAACUUUGGACUUGAACUGAGCUAUGCAACUGGCUUCCCGGGUGCUCCAACUUGCAGUGGGACUUCUUCCUCAGCCUCCAUAAUUGAUGAACAGAGCAAACCUUAUCACCAGAGAUGGAGAAUCAGAACCAAGAUGAGUCUGCACAAAUGAAGCUUACUAAAAUUAUACUUAUCUUCCAUUCAUUUCCCCCACAUCCA